RNAcentral lists this ribosomal RNA (253 nucleotides) under uncultured bacterium. RNAcentral's name for it is "partial 16S ribosomal RNA". It matches the Rfam family "Bacterial small subunit ribosomal RNA", at positions 524 to 776 of the family's 1533-position model. The record is from RNAcentral.
UACGAGGGGGGCGAGCGUUGUUCGGAAUCACUGGGCGUAAAGAGUGCGUAGGCGGUUAUGAAAGUUAGAAGUGAAAGCCCAGGGCUCAACUCUGGAAUUGCUUUUAAUACUCCAUGACUCGAAUUCGGGAGAGGAUAGCGGAAUUGUCAGUGUAGCAGUGAAAUGCGUAGAUAUUGACAGGAACACCGGUGGCGUAAGCGGCUAUCUGGACCGACAUUGACGCUGAGGCACGAAAGCGUGGGGAUCAAACAGG